AUUCUUCGGAUGACGGAUCAGAUGGAAAGCGGCGGACGGGUGAGUAACGCGUAGGUAACCUGCCCCAUACAGAGGGAUAGCCACUGGAAACGGUGAUUAAUACCUCAUGACACUUUUCUUUCGCAUGGGAGAGAAGUCAAAGAUUUAUCGGUAUGGGAUGGACCUGCGUCUGAUUAGCUGGUUGGUGGGGUAACGGCCUACCAAGGCGACGAUCAGUAGCCGACCUGAGAGGGUGAUCGGCCACAUUGGAACUGAGACACGGUCCAAACUCC
RNAcentral lists this ribosomal RNA (272 nucleotides) under uncultured Eubacteriales bacterium. RNAcentral's name for it is "uncultured Clostridiales bacterium partial 16S ribosomal RNA". It matches the Rfam family "Bacterial small subunit ribosomal RNA", at positions 72 to 339 of the family's 1533-position model. The record is from RNAcentral. Lineage: Bacteria; Bacillati; Bacillota; Clostridia; Eubacteriales.